RNAcentral lists this ribosomal RNA (500 nucleotides) under uncultured bacterium. RNAcentral's name for it is "partial 16S ribosomal RNA". It matches the Rfam family "Bacterial small subunit ribosomal RNA", at positions 29 to 523 of the family's 1533-position model. The record is from RNAcentral.
AUUGAACGCUGGCGGCAUGCCUUACACAUGCAAGUCGAACGGCAGCACGGGAGCAAUCCUGGUGGCGAGUGGCGAACGGGUGAGUAAAGUAUCGGAACGUGCCCAGUCGUGGGGGAUAACGUAGCGAAAGUUACGCUAAUACCGCAUACGAUCUAUGAAUGAAAGCGGGGGAUCGCAAGACCUCGCGCGAUCGGAGCGGCCUACAAAAGGUUAGUUAGUGGGGGGGGUAAAGGCUCACCAAGCCGACGAUCUGUAGAUGGUCUGAGAGGACGACCAGCCACACUGGGACUGAGACACGGCCCAGACUCCUACGGGAGGCAGCAGUGGGGAAUUUUGGACAAUGGGCGAAAGCCUGAUCCAGCCAUGCCGCGUGCAGGAUGAAGGCCUUCGGGUUGUAAACUGCUUUUGUACGGAACGAAAGGGUUUGGCCUAAUAAGCUGAGCUCAUGACGGUACCGUAAGAAUAAGCACCGGCUAACUACGUGCCAGCAGCCGCCGCCG